CUUCGUUUCCUUUAAGACAAGGAAUGGGAUGAAAUCAAGGGGAGGUUGUGAUAGUAGACUGGUGGUGGUGUUCGAGUGACAGACGGGAGAGUUAAAAUAUUUUUAAAAAAAAUCCUGAAAAUCUGGUGUGGCUAAAGCCACAUAAAGCCACACCAUGCCCUUACAUGUGUCCGUCCCUGGUUGUGCCUCAUUAAUCUCUCUUUGUUAUCAAGUGUACUUCACACUAAGAUACAAGUCCUUGAUUCAUGUGUACCAUAUGACUUUCAAACAUCGUGAAGAUUAUAUUCGUGGUGUCCUAUCCACUACUUUUGUUUCCUUGUACUUAUCUUAACUUUUUUUGUCCCUGCAGUUUUUAAUCCAACUUCUGUUUCAACACCUUUAUGGUGAAUGUUUAAUACCAAUAUGAGUGAACAUUUUUAGAGUAGUAUGGAAGCUAUAAGCAAUUGAAAGUACCAAAAUUUAAUUUAAUAUAGCAGCAGAUCAUUACAAGUAAGUUCAAUGAGUUGUUUGCUAAGUACAUAAAUAUUUGUUAUUGUUUA
Long non-coding RNA from Trifolium pratense (red clover), 539 nucleotides. RefSeq lists it as uncharacterized. The transcript is spliced from 3 exons. The record is from RefSeq and is a predicted model, not a curated record. NCBI's taxonomy places the organism in Eukaryota, Viridiplantae, Streptophyta, Magnoliopsida, Fabales, Fabaceae.